GGAGCAACGCCGCGUGAGUGAUGAAGGUUUUCGGAUCGUAAAGCUCUGUUGUUAGGGAAGAACAAGUACCGUUCGAAUAGGGCGGUACCUUGACGGUACCUAACCAGAAAGCCACGGCUAACUACGUGCCAGCAGCCGCGGUAAUACGUAGGUGGCAAGCGUUGUCCGGAAUUAUUGGGCGUAAAGGGCUCGCAGGCGGUUUCUUAAGUCUGAUGUGAAAGCCCCCGGCUCAACCGGGGAGGGUCAUUGGAAACUGGGGAACUUGAGUGCAGAAGAGGAGAGUGGAAUUCCACGUGUAGCGGUGAAAUGCGUAGAGAUGUGGAGGAACACCAGUGGCGAAGGCGACUCUCUGGUCUGUAACUGACGCUGAGGAGCGAAAGCGUGGGGAGCGAACAGGAUUAGAUACCCUGGUAGUCCACGCCGUAAACGAUGAGUGCUAAGUGUUAGGGGGUUUCCGCCCCUUAGUGCUGCAGCUAACGCAUUAAGCACUCCGCCUGGGGAGUACGGUCGCAAGACUGAAACUCAAAGGAAUUGACGGGGGCCCGCACAAGCGGUGGAGCAUGUGGUUUAAUUCGAAGCAACGCGAAGAACCUUACCAGGUCUUGACAUCCUCUGACAAUCCUAGAGAUAGGACGUCCCCUUCGGGGGCAGAGUGACAGGUGGUGCAUGGUUGUCGUCAGCUCGUGUCGUGAGAUGUUGGGUUAAGUCCCGCAACGAGCGCAACCCUUGAUCUUAGUUGCCAGCAUUCAGUUGGGCACUCUAA
Molecule: ribosomal RNA, 763 nt
Filed under: Bacillus tequilensis
Lineage: Bacteria; Bacillati; Bacillota; Bacilli; Caryophanales; Bacillaceae
Description: bacterial SSU rRNA
Rfam family: Bacterial small subunit ribosomal RNA
Source: RNAcentral